Molecule: long non-coding RNA, 9298 nt
Filed under: Triticum aestivum (bread wheat)
Lineage: Eukaryota; Viridiplantae; Streptophyta; Magnoliopsida; Poales; Poaceae
Description: long non-coding RNA (TAES_LNC002365)
Source: RNAcentral
AAAGUGGGUAAACUGCUUGGCAGCUAGAUUAUAGCACCUAUCAUGUAAUCUCUGGUCUUAAGUCUUAACUAUGACUAUACACUGGGCUUUCUAACUUUUAUUGGAAGGCAAGGAUGGAAUGAUAAAAAAUAACAGUGAAGAGAGGAAAACAGGGCAAGGAUGGAAUGAUAAUGAGACAUGCAACAAUGUUCCUACAAAUGCAGCAAACCUGCUGUUAAAUUUCAACAUGCAUUUUAACCUGGCUUUAACAUCAAUUAAGCCACAUUGCCGUCACAUUGGCCUCAAAAGAAAAGAAGAUAAAAGGCCUGUUGUCUAAGUGGUCAACUUGGGCCAUAAACUCAUUUAUGUGAUCAAUUAAGGCCAAAAGCAAUUCGGACGAAGAAAAACGGCCACGUGGCCGCCGCGUCAGCGCACCUUUGACCGCUCACGAUCUGACUAAUAUUUACAGGGGUUCAAAGUGAAUCUGCAGGGCACGUCCAUCCAGAAUCUGUAGAAAUUCAUAGUGAAAAUCAGGUUUCUGAACGGAGACCCAAACUGACAGUUGAUACAAACAUCUGUACACUGACCUGUUUGUUGAGGGCAUAAACAGCAUCAUACGUUUCCUUCUCUGUUGCCAUCGUGACAAAACCGAAUCCCUGAGAGCUCCAGGUUCCUCCUCUGUGCCUGUAGACGACUCUAGCAUCGACCACUUUGCCGUGCUUGCCAAACAGCUCCUUCAACCAAGAGUCAUCGACUUGCAAAGACAGAUUGCCCACGUAGAUUCUGAAUGGGGACUCGGUUUGAUGGGAAGGAGUUUCCACCCGGGCGCCUCUCCGAGCUGCUUUGUGCACAAUAAGAGGCAUCCCAAACAAUUUCUGUGCACAUAAAAGGUCAAUCAGAACUGCAUUCUUUAGCACAAGCUUAUCUUAUGUAGCAUAUGACUUACACAUGACACUAACCUCGACAAAAAGAACAACUAAAAAAAUGAAUUAUACUAAUGAACACCCUCUCUCAUGCGCAUAGCAUACGAAUGUAUAAGCUGGCAGCGAGUUAACAAAACGAAGAGGACGAUGAAUAAGUUGGCUUCAGAUUAGAUCAUUGAGAUUUCAGAAUGACAAGCUGGGAGCUAUUGCAGGAAGCUAUGUUCCAAUGUAAACUAGGAGCAGCCCAAGCAUAUAGUUCAACUAUGAUCACACGAGCUGUAGGUAAGAUAGAACAAGUUCCUGAAUCCCGAUAACAUCUUUUGGUGCGCACGCUCCAUUGGGCCCACACACCAAAAAUUCAAUAAAUGUUUUGAAAAAAAAACAUUGCACGGGCGAAUUACUAAAAUAUGUGAGUUCGCAAAAUUUCCCAUAAAUUUAUGAGUUUUGUUAAGCUGUCAAAGAAAAACUAGAUACUCAUGCAUUUGUCAUUUUGACCCAUCUUUCUGGUUUCAUUUGUGCAGGACACAAACUUUUUUUAAAGAAUAUUUUAAACUCUUGAUAGCAGUAUUUAUAAUUUAAAGAUAUAGGGUACAGUGGAGCUCAGGCUCUCUAAACAGGUUCCUUCAACUUUAUUUAAAUUCAGAAAAAUAUAAGGACACUAGCCCCAUCAAAUUAUUGGUAUUAUUUAUCAAAUGUACUCACAAAGCCAUCGAACAUCUCCACAGCCAGCUCAGCCUCCUUAACAGUACUCAUGGUGACAAAUCCAUAUCCUCGGCUCUGGCCUGUUCCUCGGCUGUAAAUACCCUAGGCAUAAAAGAUGUAGAAGUUGUGUUUCAGAACAAAGAGAAAACCAGACAAUAUGCACGCCUGACAAAUUAACAGCAGUAGCCGAUCCGAGUGGCAAAACAUAAAUCUGACAUUGCGUGUAUUCAACAGCAUCUCCAGAUAGCACAAACAUCCUUUGCAAACCAAAACAUUAUCGCAAAGCAAUCUGGUGCAAAUUCAACAUAUCACACAAGAAGCUUAGAAAGCAGCCACCUAGAUUCUAGUUGAUCUACCCCGUGAGCUUCAACAGCGCACAUCAUGGCACUACAAUCAUACAGGAAACUGCAUCGUGUUGCAGAAGUGGUUACAGGGCCAAUUUCAGCUGUGCAUACAUUAUUAAGGCGUCAGAACUUAACACAAUUUUUCACAUAUCGAUGAGCAUACAAAGAUAAUGAAGAUCUAAGUGGCUUACCUCUGAGAACUCAACAACACCGGCUUGCUCAAAGAGCUCGGUGAGGUCCUCGCUGACAACGUCGUAGUGUAGGUUCCCUACGUACACGUUAGGUGUGCAUUCUUCGUCUUCUUCCUCCUGGUACGGCACUUGUUGGCAAGGGGUGGCGGUGCGAGUGACCCGAGCGGUGUGAGCAUUGCCUCUACCUCUUUCAGCUCUUGUCAAAGGAGAUGCUCUUACUGCACCGACAGUUUGCCCUGCAUUCGGUAAGACUGUAAGGAGUAUAUCUCUGUUAGUUUCGGUGCUCAGCAUUCAGAAGAGAGCUUCCAUUAGCAAGAGACUAGUGACCGAAACCUGGCAUGGAAGAUGGAUGUGACUGUGGGGCUGAGACUUGAUGAUGUACAUCUUGCUGUGUUGGUGGCGCCAUUGGUGGGUGCACGGCAUUCUGCCAUUUUUCUGAAAGAGAUGUUGUCAGAUGCCCGAGCCUGAAUCUCUGCCUCAGUAUUUUCCUGCUCAUUUCGUCAUCGGUACCAUGACAAUGAUCAUCAGUCGAUAGACCUUUACCCCACUAUUUGCAUGGAGCUGGAACAUCGCAUACAAAACAGUAGCACUGCAUUUGAAGAAACAAAAAUCAAGUCACUGUUGUGCACACUACUCUGCUACGGGUGUCGGUGUACUAGAGUAGGGGUAUCCUAGUAUCUCGAACUUGUGCACGGGCAGUCGCAGCGUCCCGCGGCAAGGCUUGCCAGGUGACCGCCAAGGUCCUCUGUGGUUCCUUUGGAGCCAUUCAAGAACAAAGUAUUCAAGCCAAAGAGACAAGACCCCGGCAAGAGGAGCUUGUCGGGAAGGCCAACCAAGACACCUUAAGACCCCGGCAAGAGGAGCUUGUCGGGAAGGCCAACCAAGGCACCUCAAGACCCCGGGAAGAGGAGCUUGCCGGGAAGGCCACCCAAGGCAUCUCAAGGAACUUGCCGCGGCGCGCCGCGCGCCCCGGCAAGGCCCGGUGAGCGACAAGCUCCCGGACGCGACAAGACAACGACCGCGGCAAGGCGCUUGCCGCGGCAAGCCACCACUCUGUGCCCGCGCUCCAGCACAUCCACCAACGUGUCGCUCUGGGACCCUUCCAGGCGUGUGUGGCGGGAGGCUGUGCAGCCAGCGGUGCGCGGUGGCAAGCGGCGCUGACAAGAUUGCCAUCGUGGCAAGCGGUGGCGUCCCUGGCGGUCCCUUUUGCACUGUUUAGGCGACACAAACGGGCAUUUAAUGCCCUUGUCCCCUACCGUCAGGGUUAGGUAUGAUACACUGUAGCAGGUAGCUGUACCUACCGCAGCACCUUUACAUUUUUACCCUUGUCUACGUUGCCACCUGUCGGUGACCCCUUGAGCAUAUAAAAGGAGGCCCAUGCGCAACGUAGAGGGGGGUUGGCUGGUUCGAGAGACACUCACGCUCGGUCUCGUUAGCUGCUCGUGUGUACUGUAGCACUCCACGCUCCCGAGCAAGAACUCAAUACAAACCACAAAGCAGGAGUAGGGUUUUACGCAUCCGUGCGGCCCGAACCUGGGUAAACUGCUUGCGUGCCUCGCCUCGAUCCGCUCUUUGCGCAACCUCCGCCCUCACCGAAUCGAAAGGGACUCGGCCCGCCGGUCCCAUAGGUGUUCGUGGAUCAGUCCCCCGACAUCUUUGGCGCGCCAGGUAGGGGGGCGUCGAGGUUGUGUGAACCAGAUCCGGCGUUCUCGCGAGCUAGAUCUUCAUAAUCUUCAUCGACAUGCCGCCGAAGAAGAUGGUUUCGGAGGCGGCUGCUCUGUCCGCGCCGAACCCACCACCGCCGGAGCAAACGACUGGUGGGGCAGACGCCGACGGAAGAACGGGCGUCGACGAGGGAGCUCGCGGUGCUGCCAGGUCCAAGGACAAGGCCGCGCUACCCAUCGGCGGCGUAGCCGGCUCCCACAACGACCGGGCGCACUCCAAGACCUCGGCGUCCGUACAUGCACCACGCCCAUCUCAGGAGGUGCGGGACCGGCAGCGUCAUGGUACUCACGGUACCAUGCGUUUGCUGGACCAAGAUCGAGCUGGCGGAUCUCGGAGUGCUCAAGACCAGCAUGCACGCCAGCAUGCUGGCACGAGCGAGGCGCGGUCGCCUGGACGAGAUAUUGCUCCUUCUAACAUAGUUAGAAGUCUGAGCAUAUCCCGCUCCUCGCACCGUUCGCCACCGCCACCCGCCACUGCGGCAUAAGCUUUGGCGCGAGCUCAACUGCUCCUAGACUACCCUCCAACGGCGGACAAGAUCGACGACUGGAGGGCCACCAUUCAGAAUCUCAUUGGCUUCGCCAACGGCGACACUCAACGGCAGUCGAGCACGUCACAGCCGCGGCAAGUCAGCCAGGCACAAGCCGGUGGCGACAAGACCGGUGGGGGUGCAACCACUGUGCACUCUCCGCCCCGAAGGCCAAGAUCGCCGACUCGCCGGAUCCACCUCGACAGCGACUCCACCGCGUCAUCAGAUCCAUGAGCUCGCCGCGAUCAGCGCCAAGUUCUUCAUGAACGACAACAAGAAGACGCUCGUACUCGCAUCGAGCGCCGAAGAGAAGCGCGACGUCAAUCAGACCAGCGCGCUGGGCCCUCUGUCGACAUGCAUGCGCCAGGGGAACCAGGCGACUUGCCGUACGCGGUAGGUUGCCCUGCGUUCACUCGUGAGCUGCGGCAAGUCCAGUGGCCCAGCAUGAAGAAUUUCAAGCCAGACGUACCAGAGAAGUACGACGGCAAGUCGCAUCCGUCGGAGUUCCUCAGCAUCUACACCAUCGUAGUGCAGGCUGCCGGGGGGCGGGACGACAAGAUCCUUGCCAACUACUUCCCGCUGGUGCUCAAGCCCAACGUCAGGUCCUGGCUCAUGCACUUGCCGGACAACUCCAUAUCCUCCUGGGCAGACCUAUGCCAUCAGUUUGUCGGCGCCUUUAUAGGCGGCCACAAACCUCAUGGCCAAGAGAGUGACCUUCAUCUGCUCGCCCAGAGGGAAGGACAGCCCCUGCGCAAGUACAUUCAGAGAUUUAGCCGUGUACAGCACAACAUCCCAGAUGUCCACCCUGACGCGGUCAUCAGUGCGUUCCAUCAGAAUGUGCGUGACCGCAGGAUGCGGGAGGAGAUGGCGAUGUGCAAGAUCAGAGACGUCAGUGAGCUGUAUGCCCUGGCCGACAAGUGUGCACGUGCUGAAGAAGGGAGAAGACUCCCCGGAGAGAAUACAGGAGCAGAAGGAUCUGACAGUGAGGAUGCUGCCCCGGCCAAGAAAAACCGGCGGCGGAACAGGAAGAAGAAAGGCAAAGAUGUACUAGUUGUUGAGCAGUCCGGCAACGAAGGUGGCGCCAAUAAAGCCAAAGUUGGUAGCUCCGGCAAGGAGAUUGCCGCAUGCACCAACUGCCAGGCUGUGGCGGUCGCCGACAAGCAGGACGGCUCCGACAAGCAGUACUGCAAGAUCCACCGCACCAAGGGCCAUGACCUCCAGAGCUGCAAGAAGGUCGAGUAGCUUGUCCAGCAACAAAAGGCUGAGUACGAGCGACGCGACAAGGAGAGGGCCCAAGGUGGCGAUGGAGAAUCCGGCAAGAAGCGCGCCGGCCGGGGAGGACGCCGCGGCAAAGCCAAGCAGCGGCAAGGAGACAGACCUCCCCGCGGCCGCGACAAGGACGAAGAUGACGACGACGAUGAAGACAUGGAUGAUGUCGAGACCAGUGAGCAGGAGUUCCAGAAAGCCACAGAGGUCUUGUGCGUUGAUGGUGGUGCUUCUCUGCAUACUUCGCACCGCCAGCUCAAGCAGUGGGUGCGGGAAGUCAAUGCAGCGGAACCACCCGUCGAAUCACGCAAGCUUCUGAAAUGGUCCAGCACGCCUAUCAUCUUUGAUAUUGAGGACCACCCUGAUCGCACAACCGCAGUCGGGUGCUUGCCGAUGUUGGUUUCACCAACUAUCCGCAACCUCAAGGUCACUAAGAUGUUAGUUGACGGCGGGGCCGGCUUGAACCUGAUCUCCUCCGCUGUACUCCAGAAACUCUAAAUCCCUGACAGCGAGCUCGAAGAGACCGGCACAUUCCAAGGAAUCAACCCGGGAAGGAGCAAGCCGAAGGGGAAGGUCACGUUGCCAGUAACAUUUGGCAGCGAGCUGAACUUCAGGACUGAGAGAGUCACUUUUGACGUUGCCGAUAUUCCAUUACCUUACAAUGGGAUACUUGGUCGUCCAGCACUCGCCAAGUUCAUGGCAGCCUCUCACUACGCAUACAACAUGCUGAAGAUGCUAGGCCCGAUAAGCGUCAUCUCUGUCCCCGGCGACAAGAAGGAUGCCCUUAUCUGCGCCGACAAGAUCUACCGGGAAGCGGCAGCCGCAACAGACCGCAAGUCACUUGCCGCUGAAGCUCCCGGGAGGAAGAAGACCAAGUCCGGCAAGAGUUCUGAUGCCCACUCCGGCAAGCGCACCUCUUCGGAGUGCUGCGCUGCCGUCGAGAACGCACCAUCGAGCUCCACCGGCAAGUAUAAGAAGACGAUGACAGCUCCGCCAGAGACGAAAAAGGUGUCUGCAAAGGAGGACGGCACUGGUGGUACCUUCACCAUCAGUGCCACUCUCGACCCUAAAUAGGAAAGCGCGCUCAUUGCUUUCCUGCGGGCAAAUGUCGACGUGUUUGCGUGGCAACCGUUUGACAUCCCCGGUGUUCCCAGGAAAGUAAUUGAGCACCAUCUUGCCGUUUGUCCUCAUGCACGGCCCGUCAAGCAGAAGGUCAGGAAGCAAGCAGUGGAGCGCCAAGAAUUCAUUGCAGAAGAUAUCAAGAAAUUGGAAGCAGCAGGCCUUGUCAGAGGAGUGCUCCAUCCUACGUGGUUGGCCAAUCCUGUAGUCGUGCGCAAGGCAAACGGGAAAUGGAGACUUUGUAUCGAUUUUACCGAUGUUAACAAAGCUUGUCCCAAAGACCCAUUUCCUUUGCCGCGCAUUGACCAGAUUGUUGACUCCACAGCCGGAUGUGAUUUGCUUUCAUUUCUUGACGCAUACUCAGGAUAUCAUCAGAUCUUCAUGGCAGAAGAGGAUGAGGAGAAGACCGCAUUUAUUACUCCAUGUGGCACGUACUGUUUCGUACGGAUGCCUUUCGGAUUAAAAAAUGCUGGUUCAACAUUUGCAAGAGUAGUCCAUGUCGCUCUCGAACCACAAAUACACAGAAAUAUGGAGGCCUACAUGGAUGACAUAGUGGUCAAGAGCAAGGACAGAGCAACUCUGAUUCAAGAUUUAGACGAGACCUUUGCAAAUCUGCGCAAGAUCAACCUUAAACUCAACCCCGAGAAGUGUGUGUUUGGAGUCCCCUCCGGCAAGCUUCUCGGGUUCUUCGUAUCUCAGCGAGGAAUUGAAGCCAAUCCCGACAAGAUCAAGGCCAUUGAGUAGAUUGAAGCACCCAAGCGCGUCAAGGAUGUACGAAGACUUGCCGGUUGCGUGGCUGCUCUCAGCAGGUUUAUCUCUAGGUCUGUUGAGCGCGCCCUGCCAUUUUUCAAAUUAUUGAAAAAGGCAGGUCCAAUGAAAUGGACUCCAAAAGCAGAGGCUGCGCUGCAGGACUUGAAGAAAUACCUGUCCUCCACUCCAAUACUUGUCGCACCUAAGCCACAAGAGAAGUUGCUGCUGUAUAUAGCGACAACCAAUCAAGUGGUUAGUGCUGCGUUAGUAGCGGAGAGGGAGGCAGAUGACGAGCCAGCAACCACGGCAGACGCAUCCAGCGACAAGCAGGGGGCUUCCCCGGCAAGCUCUGGUCCCGAUAAAGAUGGGUCUGCGCAGAUGCAGGAGGAGACACAGAAAAAAAUGAUGCAGCGCCCAGUUUACUUUGUCAGUUCCCUUCUGCAGGGGGCUAGGUCAAGGUACUCUGGUGUGCAGAAAUUGCUUUUCGGCCUUCUCAUGGCCUCGAGAAAGCUGCGCCAUUACUUCCAAGCACAUGAGAUCACAGUUGUCACUCGCUUUCCGCUGAAGAGGAUACUACAGAAUCCAGAAGCGACAGGCAGGAUUGUUGAGUGGGCACUGGAACUGUCAAGCUUUGGCCUCAAGUUUGAAAUUACUUCAACUAUCCAAAGCAGAGCAUUGGCAGAAUUCAUAGCAGAAUGGACGCCAACACCAGAUGAAGAAAUUCCAGAAACGAGCAUCCCCGUCAACAAAGCGACCAAAGAGUGGCUGAUGUACUUUGAUGGUGCCUUCUCGCUGCAAGGCGCCGGCGCUGGCGUGCUGCUUGUCGCACCCACCGGAGAGCACCUCAAGUACGUAGUCCAGAUGCACUUUCCCAAGGAGCAAGCAACAAACAAUACUGCAGAGUAUGAAGGCUUGCUUGCCGGUCUCAGGAUCGCGGCAGACCUUUGGGAUCAAGAAGCUCAUUGUCAGGGGUGACUCGCAGCUUGUCGUCCGCCAAGUGAACAAGAGUUAUCAGAGUCCGUUGAUGGAAGACUACUUCGACGAAGUGAGAAAUCUAGAAGAGCACUUUGACGGCCUACAGAUGGAGCAUGUUCCAAGAGCUCAGAACGCCAUUGCCGAUGGCCUGUCAAAGUGCGCCGCACUUAAGUUACCUGUGGAACCAGGGAUUUUUGUGCUCAAGCUGACACAACCGUCUGUAACGCCAUCAACUGGACAGAGCAAGAAGAGGAAGUUGAUUUCUGGUGACUAUUUGCCGGCAGAGCUCCCCGAAGCCGCCGCCAAGAAGGUCCCCAAGAUCAACGCCAAGAACGCUGAGGAGCAGUCUGCUCCUGCAAGCCCUAGGGUUUGUUCCGUUGAAGCAGAAGCUCCCGACAAGUUUUGCUCUGGCAAACUUGCCGGGGAACGUCAAGCUCCGGCAGAACCGCAGAUUCUUGCCGUAGAAGCGGACUUUCCCGCAGCAACAGAUUUGCCUUGCGCUGAGGAGCAAUAUGCUCCGGCAAGCCCUAGGGUUUGUUCCGUCGAAGCAGAAGCUCCCGACAAGUUUUGCUCCUGCAAACUUGCCGGGGAACGUCACGCUCCGGUAGAGCCACAGGUUCUCGCCAUUGAAGCGGAUGUUCCCGCAGCAGCAGAUUUGCCUUUAGUCCUUGUUGUCGAGCCGCAAGCUCCAGCAUGGGCACAGCAGAUUGUCCGUUUCCUUUAGACAGGAGAACUUCCCGAAGAGCAAGAAGAAGCGGAAAAAGUAGCCCGGCAGUCAAGUAUGUACCAGUUUGUUGA